This 194-nucleotide ribosomal RNA is filed under the name uncultured eukaryote. RNAcentral's name for it is "partial 18S ribosomal RNA". It matches the Rfam family "Eukaryotic small subunit ribosomal RNA", at positions 1 to 194 of the family's 1831-position model. The record is from RNAcentral.
GUAACCUGGUUGAUCCUGCCAGUAGUCAUAUGCUUGUCUCAAAGAUUAAGCCAUGCAUGUCUCAGUAUAAGCUUUUAUACGGCGAAACUGCGAAUGGCUCAUUAAAACAGUUAUAGUUUAUUUGAUGGUCAUUCUUACAUGGAUAACCGUGGUAAUUCUAGAGCUAAUACAUGCGCCAAAACCCGACUUCUUGG